GAUGAACGCUGACAGAAUGCUUAACACAUGCAAGUCAACUUGAACUUCGGUUUGGGUGGCGGACGGGUGAGUAACGCGUAAAGAACUUGCCUCACAGAUAGGGACAACAUUUGGAAACGAAUGCUAAUACCUGAUAUUAUGAUUAUAUGGCAUCGUAUAAUUAUGAAAGCUAUAUGCGCUGUGAGAGAGCUUUGCGUCCCAUUAGCUAGUUGGAGAGGUAACGGCUCACCAAGGCGAUGAUGGGUAGCCGGCCUGAGAGGGUGAUCGGCCACAAGGGGACUGAGACACGGCCCUCACUCCUACGGGAGGCAGCAGUGGGGAAUAUUGGACAAUGGACCAAGAGUCUGAUCCAGCAAUUCUGUGUGCACGAUGAAGUUUUUCGGAAUGUAAAGUGCUUUCAGUUGGGAAGAAAAAAAUGACGGUACCAACAGAAGAAGUGACGGCUAAAUACGUG
RNAcentral lists this ribosomal RNA (454 nucleotides) under uncultured bacterium. Its description in RNAcentral is "partial 16S ribosomal RNA". It matches the Rfam family "Bacterial small subunit ribosomal RNA", at positions 28 to 507 of the family's 1533-position model. The record is from RNAcentral.